Molecule: long non-coding RNA, 871 nt
Organism: Pan troglodytes (chimpanzee)
Lineage: Eukaryota; Metazoa; Chordata; Mammalia; Primates; Hominidae
Exons: 5
Source: RefSeq, a predicted model, not a curated record
UUUCUGCUCGGCUCGCAGGCGCACUGCACGAGUGGAGGCGUGGCUAGUGGCUGUGAUGAGAUAAAUCCAUGCAUAGCCUUUUCAUUGCGAGCUUGAAAGUUCUUUUCUAUUACAGUUUUAGCUUUAGGUUUAAUUGGUUCGACUGCCUUCUCCACAAUUUGGGCGAGAAUUUCCUUUGCCUUCUCAGCAAAAGUUGUUCUGCGGACCCGUCUGGGUCAACUUUCAUGAGGGACAUUGAGACAAACAAAUGAAAUAUGGGUCAAAGUACUCUGAGCAGCUACAAAAAGACCAGUCUAUCCUGCUGGAGACAGUGGCCAUGUGAAGAAAGAGCUCUUGCAGUAUGAAAGACCACAUGGAAAGAGAGGCCACAUGGAACCAACAGUCAGCAUCUUGGUUUCAGACACGUGAAGAAAUUCAUCUCAGACUGUGUAUCCUAAAUCAGGCACUUGCUGAAUCCAACUACAUGAGUGAGACCAGUUGACAACACAUGGAGCAGACAUGAGCUGUUCUCACCACACAGCUGAACUACCAGACAUAUGAAUGAAGCUAGUUUGGAAGUUCCAGCCCUGGCUAAGCAUCCAGCUGAAUGCAGCCACCUGAGUGACCCCAGCCAAUAAUAUCCAGAGCAGGAGAAUCAUCCAGUUCCCAGUGUCUCCUCUAGAAUGCAGUUUCAAUCUUCCAACCACAGCUUGGGAGGCUGUUCCAGUCUUGCUGACUUUUAGUAAGAAGAAAACAGUUUCCAGUGAAGACAGGGUCUCCUUCUGUUGCCCAGGCUGGAGUGCAGUGGCACAACCAUGGCUCACUGCAGCCUCAACCUCCCAGGCCCUAGUGAUCCUUCCUACCUCAGCCUCCUGAGUAGCUGGGAGCACAG